Molecule: ribosomal RNA, 167 nt
Filed under: Clariger cosmurus
Lineage: Eukaryota; Metazoa; Chordata; Actinopteri; Gobiiformes; Gobiidae
Description: partial 12S rRNA
Source: RNAcentral
CACCGCGGUUAUACGAGGGGCUCAAGUUGAUAAACACCGGCGUAAAAAGUGGCUAGUGUACCACUAAACUAAAGCUAAACAUCUUCAGAGGUGUUAUACCCAUACGAAGACAGGAAGUACUUCUACGAAAGUAGCUUUAAAUAAUUCUAUCCACGAAAGCUAGGAAA